Molecule: ribosomal RNA, 398 nt
Filed under: uncultured bacterium
Lineage: Bacteria
Description: bacterial SSU rRNA
Rfam family: Archaeal small subunit ribosomal RNA
Source: RNAcentral
GUGUCAGCAGCCGCGGUAAUACCAGCACCCCGAGUGGUCGGGACGAUUAUUGGGCCUAAAGCAUCCGUAGCCGGUUUUACAAGUCCUCCGUUAAAUCCAACCGCUUAACAGAUGGGCCGCGGAGGAUACUAUAAGACUAGGAGGCGGGAGAGGCAAGCGGUACUCAGUGGGUAGGGGUAAAAUCCUCUGAUCCAUUGAAGACCACCAGUGGCGAAGGCGGCUUGCCAGAAUGCGCUCGACGGUGAGGGAUGAAAGCUGGGGGAGCAAACCGGAUUAGAUACCCGGGUAGUCCCAGCUGUAAACGAUGCAGACUCGGUGAUGGACCAGCUUAAUGCUAGUCCAGUGCCGCAGGGAAGCCGUUAAGUCUGCCGCCUGGGUAGUACGGUCGCAAGACUGAA